Molecule: non-coding RNA, 6841 nt
Organism: Rattus norvegicus (Norway rat)
Lineage: Eukaryota; Metazoa; Chordata; Mammalia; Rodentia; Muridae
Source: RefSeq, a predicted model, not a curated record
UCCUUGGGCCAUUGGUGCAAGCACCACAGGAUCCUCAGGGACAGACUCUGUUUGUUACCAAGGCUUUACCUUAGUUUGACUGCUACAUCCACACAUUUGCCAUUUGUCUGGAUCCACUGAGCCUGGAAGUCAAUCAGUCCCCAACCUGCUCCAUGAUUUGGGGUCCUCAUGGCAGAAAUGCUCUAUGACUUGCUUUGCUGUGAUUUUAGUUCCCUUAGCACUCCCGCCUUGCUUCCAAUAUGGCACCUUUGAGUCUUUCAGCCCCUUUAACUCUGUCAGCAUUCUGGAACCUACAUUUAAUUGUGUGACGUGUGUUGGGGAUUGGUUCUAAUGCUUGGAUAUAAUUGGGAUUCUGUGUGUCCAAAGGCUGAAGGCCCUUGUCCCCAAUCAGUCUUUGAUUGAUCAAUAAAGAGCCAACAGCCAAUGGUUGGGCAAAGGGAGAUGGGGCAGGACGUUUAGAUUUGCAUGGGCUAGGGCAGAGAUGAGGAGAAGAGGGAGGAUCGUCAUGAUGAAGUGGGAGAUGGAUCAGAUUUCGAGAAGCAAGAAAGAGAGCCAAUGAGCCACAUAAGAAUUCAGGUGAGCGGGCUGGGGAUUUAGCUCAGUGGUAGAGCGCUUACCUAGGAAGCACAAGGCCCUGGGUUCGGUCCCCAGCUCCAAAAAAAAGAACCAAAAAAAAAAAAAAAAAAGAAUUCAGGUGAGCGUCCACUAGACACUUACCUGAUUGGUCCUGGGGUAGCAGGCAGAGGAUUAGAACUGCCCAGCCAUUGAGCUGGACAGAAUAUUAAAAAUAAGCUAGUGUGUGUGCGCAUGUAUAUGUGUGUAUGUGUGUAUGUGUGUAUGUGUGUGUGUGUGUGUGUGUGUGUGUGUGUGUGUGUGUGUGUGUGUGUGUGUUUCAUUCUAGGAUUCAGGGAGCUGCUGGGCAGGUGUCUGGAGGAGUUUGACCCACUGGGAGCCCAAAGCAGUGUAGCCACAGUCCACGCUAUAACAUGUGAUGUGUGACCUGAGACUUGUCACCAAUUAAGACUGGAAUAAAAACCCAGGCAUAGUUGCUCAUGCCUGCAAUCACACCUAAAAGUUUGAGGCAGAAGGACUGCUCUGUAUUUAAGGCCAGCCUGAGCUAUCUGGGAUUCCAGGCCAAGUUGAGCUCCAGAGGGGGACUUUGUCUGAAAACAACACAUUAGAAUAAAAAAAUCUACUAUGAAGCCUGCAGGACUUGGUGAGUCAAAGGGCAAGAACAUUGAUGGCAUUGUUUAUGAAUGGACCAGUACUGUGGAAAAAUACAACUAUGCAGAGAGAGAAAGAGAGAGAGAGAGAGAGAGAGAGAGAGAGAGAGAGAGAGAGAGAGAGCACGUGCCUCAAACAAUUGCUUUCCUUCCAGCCAGACAGUAAAUCAUACUGGAAGGAAUGAGCUGCCUGUCAGCGCCUUUUCCCCUUGCUCCCCCCUAAAAAAUGCUCUUCAAAACACCACUGUCGGGGCUGGGGAUUUAGCUCAGUGGUAGAGCGCUUACCUAGGAAGCGCAAGGCCCUGGGUUCGGUCCCCAGCUCCGGGAAAAAAAAGAACCAAAAAAAACAAAAAAAACAAAAAAACAAAAAAAAAAAAACACCACUGUUUUUUUUUUUUUCUAAACCAAUCUAUGACUUGCAAGUCCUUUGUUUUCUAAUGAUAUUAAAUCCUACCUCUGUACUUCCAUAUUUCUAAUUUUAAAAGGCAGACACAGAGAGAAAACCAGGCAUUUUUAUGUUCUUAGAAUUCAUUGAGAAAAAAAAAAAAAAAAAAAAGCUCUCGGGUUCUUUAGGGCCAAAGAAUUCCAGCAGUUGACAUAAAAAUCUUACCUACCCAAGCAAACCUAAAAAGUUGCAUUCCAUUCUGUUUUAAACGUUGCUUCUCCUGACCUUUCAAGAAAGGCCCAGUAGGAAAAUUCAAUCCACUUGAGUAGAGGGAAUGCAAUUCUGGAUUGUGAUUUUGCACAAAUGUAUUAUUUAAUUCUUAAAUUAAGUGCACGAUAUUUAAAAAGCACAAAUACAAAAUGUGAGUAGGCUGGGCCUUCUCAAGAAUUAGUGUGCCCCGAAGAAAUUCUUCAGGGCAGUAAAAUUAGAUUCUAGUCUCAGCCUGAAAUUAGCCUGGGCUCAUAUUCCGGCCCUGUAAUUACACAGUGUGCAACCUCAGGGGGAAAUUAUUACUUAACUACUUAUCUCUAAGUGGGUGUAAUUCUCUGUCUCUCAGAGAGCCAACGGAAAUUACCGACGUUGUAUGUUCUUGCAUUAAGGCUUUGGAUACAGCUAUUACAUGAACAUCUCUCUUCAUUUAUGACAGAUAUGAGAGGAGGCCCUGAGGUCUUCAGCCACCAUAUCCUACAGGGACAGGGUUCCCACCCACAUGGUGCAGUUGCUCGUGAUAGAGGACUCGAAUGGUCUUAGAAAUAGACACAGCACAUUGGGCAUGGUGGUGCCCUUGGGAGAUACAGGCAGGAGGAUCAGGAGGGUCAAGGUCAGCCUUGGGUACUUAGCAAGCUCAAGGCCAGCCUGGGUUACCUGGGAUACUCUUUCUUUUAUCAAACACCCCUACCACCAGGGACUCACACUAUAAGCGUGGCCUUGACCUUGAACUUCUUAUCAUCCCGCCUCUACCACCCAGCCUUUGGCAUUAUAGGUCUGUGCCCACCACGUGAGUGUGGUGCUGUGGAUUGGACGUGGAGGUUCUUUGUCAGGUAAACCAUGUUCGGAGCCCUCCUUUUUCCUUAUAAUCAUUGCCAGUUUCUACUUUGUUCUAGACUCUUUACUCCUCUGUGAUCAGGUUGAACCUUGGUCCUUUUUCCCCUCUCAGAAUUGUGUAACCAGUCACACCACUGAGCAGCACAAGGGGCCAAGAGCACAGUGGGAGAGGAAGUCACUAACCAACAUCUCCGUCCUCGGGGCCUGGGAGGUUAUAGACCACAGAAAAAUGAGAACACAGAGUUCUGAGGCCAGCCUUGGGAGGAUUAUCUUGAGUAGGAGGCCAGUCUGAGCUGGAUGGUGAGACUUUUUCUAGGUUUUGGUUCUUUUUUUUUUUUUUUUUUUUUUUUUCCGGAGCUGGGGACCGAACCCAGGGCCUUGCGCUUCCUAGGUAAGCGCUCUACCACUGAGCUAAAUCCCCAGCCCCUGGUGAGACUUUUUCUAAACAACAACUAGAAGGGGUGCUCUGCAGGGAACAGCAUUGAUCCCCGCACAGCCUCUUCUGGCUCUGUGAACUGAAGUACCAUGAAAAGCUGACAUCUGUGCAGGGAAUUCAGCUGUGAGUGACUGAGGUUCUGCAGUUACAGAGAGUUGAAAUGUGGUAAAUAGAUAAAAUUCUUCUGGGCUAUCAUUAGUCCAUAGCAGUUUUCCAGCAGCAUCCUCUUGACUCUCUGGUGACAUUUUCAGAAUGCAUUCCUAGAAAUCACCUGAUCUACAGACUCCGGAACUGAGAAUGUCACCAGACAGUCUGGAACCUAUAGCAAUGGUCGCAGGCUUAGCUGUGAGCUGCCUACCUGAUGUCCAACAGAGUACUCUGUAAAUGAAUUGAUCUGCGUUCUGUUUGUUUCCUUCUGUGACUGUUAAAGUUCCACUAACCCCUCCCAGGGUGUCAUUCACGGCAGCUUGAACCUGUGAUCUGGGGUGGUGGUCAAUCAUAUUUGGCUCCUCAUAAUAACCCUCUCCUAUUGUCUCUGGGGCAAGAGUCAUGUCUUGUCUUGAUGUGACAACUUCAUUUUGCUUCUUCCUGUUUGCCACAGCAACUGUCAAAUGUCAUAAAGCUAAGAAGAGUGUCUUGAAGCAAACACGGAAGGGAUCAUACCAAAGUUUAAAGGUUUCACUCCAACAGCCAUCUUUCCAUGCAACAGAAGGGCUAAUCCACUGAGGAGGGACUUCUAGCCUUCUGGGUUCCAAGAUAAACAGGCUUAGGACUGGGCAUUUCCAUGAUGUUCUGUAGGGAACAGAGAAUUGGGGUAGGUUCUUGUAGAGUACUGUUGGGUUGCUCACACUGAGCGUAAGACACACACACACACACACACACACACACACACACACACACACACACACACACUCACUCUAGACCUCAGGACACAUCCCUGGAAGGUGGCUGUAACUCUUCUCCAUCCCCACAGCAGGAAACAAAGACUCUAAACAAAGACUCUUCCCAAGCUAUCUAGCCCCCAGUGCUAGAGAUGGCUUUGCUGGGGUCUGCAAGACCCCUAAGACCCCAGGGAAGAAGGCUUCUCCUGCCACAGGCAAACAGGCGGCAUCCCACCUCUCCUGUGCCUUACCCUGCCUGUGCGUUGCUACUUUUGGCCCCGAAACUGGGUUCUUUGUCCCUCUCAGAAUUGUGAGGGGGGAAGAAACAAGAUCAAGCGCCAUCAAGUAGUGAAGGAAACUUUUCAUUCUUGGCCAAGAACAGAAUAAAGGAGGCAAUAAAUGUGGAAAACAGCUUCUCAGCAGCCCAAGGCUUGAUGGCCAUAGUGGGGCGAAAGAAAUGAGAGGCAGGCUGAGGGUAAUGCAGGGGAGGAAUGCGUGUGUGUUUUCUGGGAAUGGGCACAACUUUUCCAGGAAUCUGGGCACUGCCCUCCUUUCGACCUUUUGAUGGUUCUUUUUGUCCGGUUGUCGCCGUGGCCAUUGUGAACCAACGUGGCCCUGGAGGUCACGCCGUUUUGUAUGCAGAUGGCAUAGAGACAGUUUGAAGAUAAUCAUCUGCAGUCUAGGCAGCUCAGGCUCACCCAUCUGAAAAGGGGUUUCCAGUCCUCAGCAUCCAGUCCUCAGAGAUGAACAGUCAGGGUGGAGUUAGCUCUCCUAGGCAGCCUUCAGGGAAUCCUGCCCUGCUCCCUCAAAUCUGGGAUUGAUUGAUGAUUGAUUGAUUGAUUGAUUGAUUGAUUUGGGGGCAGAGCGUUGUGUGCUUUGGGAGUCUGAGGACGUGUCGCAGACGUUUAUUCUUUUCUUCUGCCAUGUGGAGUCCAGGGAUGAUGCCCAGGUCAUCAGACUCGGUGGCGACCCUUGUUACCUGCCAUCUUCCCGGGCCUAUGAUAGCUUGGGUGGGGGUUCCUCUAUCAACAUGGUCAAGAGCUUAAGGGAGUUGUUCUGGCCAGAGUUGCCUGUAGGCCUUGCUUUCUACACAGCUGUCCUGUGCUGGGGCCGUUUUCCUUUUCUGUUGCUUUGUUCGUUCGUUUGUGGUUUUGAGAUAGGGUCUCAGACAGCCCAGGCUGACUCCAACCUAACUGUGUGGCCUGAGGGACCUUAAAUUUGGUGAUUCUCCUCCUAAAUAUUAGGCUGACAGGCGUUUGGCAUCAUGUCUGAUAUGUAUAUUACUGGGCAUCCAGCACAAGUCAUGGAGCUGUUGAACAGCACUCCACAAUUGGGCUAAAUCCCUCUUUUUAUUUUUAUUCUUUUAAAAAUAAUGAGGGUGGUUUGGCAAACAAUAUGGUUUGCACCCUCACUGUGCUGGGUCCUGAGGAAAUGAGUAAGUAGGUGGUGGAGUGAAGAAAGAGAAAGAAGCAAGCAAAUAAAGGCAGAAGGCGAGAGGCCAUUGGUGCACGGUGAAGAGAGGCAGAACUGGAGGACAGGAAGGCCAUUGCUGUUCGUGCUCCUUGGGAAAUGGGUUGGACAAACGUUUGAAGACACCCAGAGACUCUGCCCACCGUGUGGCCUGUGGCUUGAGCCACUGCGAUAUGCAAAUAUGGGGUGGAGAGAUAGGAGAGGAAGAGAAGAGGAACCGUUUGAGCACCGUGAAGAGAGGCAGAUCUGGAGACUUGGGGGUAGAGAGGAACACCAUCUGUGAGUAGCUUGUGAGGUCACCUGAGGCCGUGGUGAGUUUUGGCUUGUGCUGCUGCUGAGAGCCAUGUCUGGGUCUGUGACCAUGCAGCAGCAGGUAUCUGUAUCAAUGUCCAUGACCCAAAUUGCCACCAAAGGCCAUGUAGACCUUAGUCCCUGGGCUGGGCUGCCACCUGGGAUCGUAUUAAUCUCCAAAGGCUGGAUAGAGCUGGCCCCGCCCCUUAUUGGUUGCAGCAUUUGAGAGAGCAGGUCCCUGCUGGGCAAAACGGUAGAGCUGGCCCCUAGUGGUAGGACUGUGGGGACCAACCAGCCCUUGCAAGCUGUGGUGAGCUAGCCCAGCAGUGCUUGUGAGCUUGCUCUAGUGGCGCCCAGAUCUAGGGCUCUGAGUUGGCCCACCCCAAUAUCUACCCCACCUAUGAGCUGCUGGAGUCCAUGAAGGGACCAGUCCUCAGAUCCAAAGCUGCAGGAUCUCCAUGACACAGGACAACAAAAGGUUGUCAGAGAGGCGUCCCUGUGAGGAUCCAGUAUUGAUGAUGUAGCAGAAGCCGGAGGCCUGGAACCAGACCAGUGACUCGGUGCAAGGAACAUUUACAGCUAAAGAUGGACAAGUCAAAUGGCACAUGACAACAUCUGGCCAGACGUGCAUCAAUGUCUUCAACACACAACCUAGGCAUGAUCAAGGGAUGUCCCAUGUUUGUACAACAAAAUCGCUCAACAAUGCACUCCUAAGGCACUCUGGGGACGAAAUGACACCAGCCUGUUCUUCGAUCUCUUUUAUGAUAUUUCCAGCUGUGGUGUCUCUUGCUGUGUUCACACCCUCAACACCAGCCCCACAGCAUCUAAUCCCUCUCUAACUUGGGCAAGAGCCUUACUACUAUUGUUCACUCUUACUAACCCAAAUAAUUGUUUCCAUCUCUAUAAUUAUUUAUUUAUCGGCCUUUUGGGACAAGGUCUCGCUCCAUAGCCCUGACUGGCUUGGAACUUGCUGCGUAGAACACACUGAGUUAAAACUCAUCUGCCUGUCUCUGUCUCCUGAGGGCUAGGAUUAAAAGCGUGAGUUGGUACA